This 1597-nucleotide ribosomal RNA is filed under the name Mediterranea massiliensis. RNAcentral describes it as "partial 23S ribosomal RNA". It matches the Rfam family "Bacterial large subunit ribosomal RNA", at positions 1 to 1606 of the family's 2925-position model. Lineage: Bacteria; Pseudomonadati; Bacteroidota; Bacteroidia; Bacteroidales; Bacteroidaceae. The record is from RNAcentral.
AAAAAAGCAAGAAAGGGCACAUGGCGGAUGCCUUGGCUCUCGGAGGCGACGAAGGACGUGAUAAGCUGCGAUAAGCUGCGGGGAGGUGCAAAUGACCCUUGAUCCGCGGAUUUCCGAAUGGGACAACCCGGUGUCCUGAAGGGACACCAUCCCGCACAGCGGGAGGCUAACGCAGGGAACUGAAACAUCUUAGUACCUGCAGGAAGAGAAAAUAAACAAUGAUUCCCCCAGUAGUGGCGAGCGAACGGGGAAGAGCCCAAACCACCUGCGUUACGGCGCAUGUGGGGUUGUAGGACCGCGCCGUUGCAAGAAAUCUCGUGAGUGGAACCCUCUGGAAAGUGGGUCCGUAGAGGGUGACAGGCCCGUACACGAAGCGAGACGAAGCAUAGCGGUAUCCUGAGUAGCGCGGAGCACGAGGAAUUCUGCGUGAAUCUGCCGGGACCAUCCGGUAAGGCUAAAUACUCCCGAGAGACCGAUAGUGGACCAGUACCGUGAGGGAAAGGUGAAAAGCACUUCGAACAGAAGAGUGAAAUAGUACCUGAAACCGUGUGCCUACAAGCGGUCGGAGCUCGCAAGAGUGACGGCGUGCCUUUUGCAUAAUGAACCUACGAGUUGCUUUUUCCGGCAAGGUUAAGGAAGAUGACUUCCGGAGCCGAAGCGAAAGCGAGUCUGAAGAGGGCGUACAGUCGGAAGGAGCAGACGCGAAACCAAGUGAUCUACCCUUGGCCAGGCUGAAGGAUGGGUAACACCAUCUGGAGGGCCGAACCAAUAAGCGUUGAAAAGCUUCUGGAUGAGCUGAGGGUGGGGGUGAAAGGCUAAUCAAACUUGGAGAUAGCUCGUACUCCCCGAAAUGCAUUUAGGUGCAGCCUUGACUUAUACUGACGUGAGGUAGAGCGACUGAUAAGAUGCGAGGGCUUCACCGCCUAUCAAGUCUUGACAAACUCCGAAUGCGCGUCAGUUCUAUGUCAGGAGUGAGGGCAUGGGUGCUAAGGUCCAUGUCCGAGAGGAGAACAAUCCGGACCAGCAGCUAAGGUCCCGAAAUGAAUACUAAGUUGAACUAACGAAGUCAGAUUGCUAAGACAGCUAGGAUGUUGGCUUGGAAGCAGCCAUUCAUUUAAAGAGUGCGUAACAGCUCACUAGUCGAGGAGUUUGGCAUGGAUAAUAAUCGGGCAUAAGUAUUCUACCGAAGCUCUGGAAUCAGCAAUGAUUGGUAGGGGAGCAUUCCACUCCGCGUCGAAGGCGUACCGCGAGGUAUACUGGAGCGUGUGGAAAAGCAAAUGUAGGUAUAAGUAACGAUAAGGCAGGCGAGAAACCUGCCCGCCGCAAGACUAAGGUUUCCUGAUCAACGCUAAUCGGAUCAGGGUAAGUCGGGUCCUAAGGCUCAGCCGAACGGCGAGGCCGAUGGCAGAACCGGUUAAUAUUCCGGUACUACCGACAUGAGUGACGUGGGGACGGAGUCGUGACAGCGCCGCCGGCUGACGGAAUAGCCGGUUGAAGGGUGUAGGUGUUGACGGUGCCAGGCAAAUCCGGUGCCGGAGCCGAACCUGAGAGUAUGGAGCGUCCUUCGGGACAAUCCAACAGCGCGCGUAAUCAUACU